Molecule: long non-coding RNA, 188 nt
Organism: Thalassophryne amazonica
Lineage: Eukaryota; Metazoa; Chordata; Actinopteri; Batrachoidiformes; Batrachoididae
Exons: 3
Source: RefSeq, a predicted model, not a curated record
UUUCACUCAUUUUCCCAGAUGAUAAUGCAGCAGAUAACUGAAACAAUCGUGCAAAUGGUGAUACAAGCACUAAAGUUGGUACAAAUACUCUUUAGAUAUUACUCUGUGGAACAAACCAACUGGCCACUUGAAUUUUCAAUAAGCAGCCAGGUAGGGGUCAAUUGAAGAAUUACACAGGGGUCUAAAUU